UUCUCAGUAACGUAGCUAACGCGUGAAGUUGACCGCCUGGGGAGUACGGUCGCAAGAUUAAAACUCAAAGGAAUUGACGGGGACCCGCACAAGCGGNGGAUGAUGUGGAUUAAUUCGAUGCAACGCGAAAAACCUUACCUACCCUUGACAUGCCACUAACGAAGCAGAGAUGCAUUAGGUGCCCGAAAGGAAAAGUGGACACAGGUGCUGCAUGGCUGUCGUCAGCUCGUGUCGUGAGAUGUUGGGUUAAGUCCCGCAACGAGCGCAACCCUUGUCUCUAGUUGCUACGCAAGAGCACUCUAGAGAGACUGCCGGUGACAAACCGGAGGAAGGUGGGGAUGACGUCAAGUCCUCAUGGCCCUUAUGGGUAGGGCUUCACACGUCAUACAAUGGUGCGUACAGAGGGUUGCCAACCCGCGAGGGGGAGCUAAUCCCAGAAAACGCAUCGUAGUCCGGAUCGUAGUCUGCAACUCGACUACGUGAAGCUGGAAUCGCUAGUAAUCGCGGAUCAGCA
Molecule: ribosomal RNA, 514 nt
Filed under: uncultured bacterium
Lineage: Bacteria
Description: bacterial SSU rRNA
Rfam family: Bacterial small subunit ribosomal RNA
Source: RNAcentral